This is a non-coding RNA of Pseudomonas batumici, 86 nucleotides long. Lineage: Bacteria; Pseudomonadati; Pseudomonadota; Gammaproteobacteria; Pseudomonadales; Pseudomonadaceae. The record is from Rfam.
UGUCAUGGCGGCUGUGCGCGGGAGACCUUCGGGUCUGCCGGGGUCCUGAUUUCCCGGUUUCCAGCCUGCGUACAGCUGCCACCCUU